Molecule: ribosomal RNA, 461 nt
Filed under: Bioalfa pedroleoni
Lineage: Eukaryota; Metazoa; Arthropoda; Insecta; Hymenoptera; Braconidae
Description: partial large subunit ribosomal RNA
Source: RNAcentral
CCUGAGAAACCCAAAAGAUCGAAUGGGGAGAUUCAUCGUCAGCUCAUUUUGUAUAUAUAUAAUAUAUGAUGUGAGUUACUACUUUUGUGGUAGUAUUGCUUAUACAUUAUUAUAUAUUUAUUUGCAAGAUGUUGUCGGCGUGCACUUCUUCCCUAGUAGAACAUCGCGACCCGUUGAAUGUCGGUCUACGACUUAAGAAUUAAGUCUUUAAUUAAUUUUUAUUAAUUUAUUAAAGAAUCUUAAUGUUUUCUGACCGGCUAUUCGGCGGUACACGUAAGGUAUUAAGCCGCAUAUAUUUUAUAUAUUUGCGUUCAUUUCUGUCGCAAGCGAGGCUAAUUACUAAUAGUUUUACGGACUUAGUGCCGUCAUUAGUAUUGGCCAGCUGUUGGUUGUUACAGUUAAUCUAGAACAGGCUUAUUUAUAUUACCGGUCGGCGAUGCUAAUGCUUUGGGUACUUUCAG